Molecule: ribosomal RNA, 468 nt
Filed under: uncultured bacterium
Lineage: Bacteria
Description: partial 16S ribosomal RNA
Rfam family: Bacterial small subunit ribosomal RNA
Source: RNAcentral
GACGAACGCUGGCGGCGUGCUUAACACAUGCAAGUCGAACGGAAAGGCCCUGCUUGUGUGGGGUGCUCGAGUGGCGAACGGGUGAGUAACACGUGAGUAACCUGCCCUUGACUUUGGGAUAACUUCAGGAAACUGGGGCUAAUACCGGAUAGGAGCUCCUGCUGCAUGGUGGGGGGUGGAAAGUCUCGGCGGUUGGGGAUGGACUCGCGGCUUAUCAGCUUGUUGGUGGGGUAGUGGCUUACCAAGGCUUGGACGGGUAGCCGGCCUGAGAGGGUGAACGGCCACAUUGGGACUGAGAUACGGCCCAGACUCCUACGGGAGGCAGCAGUGGGGAAUAUUGCACAAUGGGCGGAAGCCUGAUGCAGCAACGCCGCGUGCGGGAUGACGGCCUUCGGGUUGUAAACCGCUUUCGCCUGUGACGAAGCGUGAGUGACGGUAAUGGGUAAAGAAGCACCGGCUAACUACGUG